Molecule: ribosomal RNA, 459 nt
Filed under: uncultured bacterium
Lineage: Bacteria
Description: partial 16S ribosomal RNA
Rfam family: Bacterial small subunit ribosomal RNA
Source: RNAcentral
CCUACGGGAGGCAGCAGUGAGGAAUAUUGGCCAAUGGCCGCGACGCUGAACCAGCCAAGUCGCGUGCGGGAAGACGGCCCUACGGGUUGUAAACCGCUUUUGUCGGGGAGCAAAGCGAACCACGUGUGGUUCAUUGCGAGUACCCCAAGAAAAAGGAUCGGCUAACUCCGUGCCAGCAGCCGCGGUAAUACGGAGGAUGCGAGCGUUAUCCGGAUUUAUUGGGUUUAAAGGGUGCGUAGGCGGACGCUUAAGUCAGUGGUAAAAUUGCGGGGCUCAACCUCGUCGAGCCGGUGAAACUGGGUGCCUUGAGUGGGCGGGAAGUACGCGGAAUGCGUGGUGUAGCGGUGAAAUGCAUAGAUAUCACGCAGAACUCCGAUUGCGAAGGCAGCGUACCGGCGCCCAACUGACGCUGAAGCACGAAGGCGUGGGUAUCGAACAGGAUUAGAUACCCUGGUAGUC